Molecule: non-coding RNA, 92 nt
Organism: Amniculicola lignicola CBS 123094
Lineage: Eukaryota; Fungi; Ascomycota; Dothideomycetes; Pleosporales; Amniculicolaceae
Source: the annotation of a GenBank genome assembly
GCAUCAGUAGUCUAAUGGUUAGGAUGCUUGCCUUCCAUCGAGUUCAUCUCUGGAGUCAGCAAGCGGUCCAAGUUCGAUCCUCGGCUGAUGCA